Molecule: ribosomal RNA, 2405 nt
Filed under: bioreactor metagenome
Description: bacterial LSU rRNA
Rfam family: Bacterial large subunit ribosomal RNA
Source: RNAcentral
UCAAGCUACAAAGAGCAUACGGUGGAUGCCUAGGCGCACAGGGCCGAAGAAGGACGUGGUAAGCUGCGAAAAGCUACGGGGAGCCGCAAGCAGGCCUCGAUCCGUAGAUAUCCGAAUGGGGCAACCCGGCGGGGGCGAACCCCCGUCACCGUACACUGAAUCCAUAGGUGUGCGGAGGGCACCCGGCGAACUGAAACAUCUUAGUAGCCGGAGGAAGAGAAAGAAAAAUCGAACCCCCCAGUAGCGGCGAGCGAAAAGGGGCGAGCCCAAACCAGUUUUCUUUGGAGAACUGGGGUUGCGGGACUCUCAAAAACAUUGUGGAAGACUUAGUCGAAGCGGCCUGGAAAGGCCCGCCGCAGGAAGUAACAGCCUUGUAGACAAAAAGUAUGAAACAAUAGAGAGGAUCCCAAGUACCACGGGACACGAGGAACCCCGUGGGAAUCCGGGGGGACCACCCCCCAAGGCUAAAUACCCUGAGCGACCGAUAGUGAACAAGUACCGUGAGGGAAAGGUGAAAAGCACCCCGGGAGGGGAGUGAAAGAGAACCUGAAACCGUAUGCUUACAAACAGUCAGAGCACGUUAAAAGUGUGAUGGCGUACUUUUUGUAGAACGGACCGGCGAGUUACAUCCAGCGGGCAAGGUUAAGCGGAAGAGACGCGGAGCCGGAGCGAAAGCAAGUCUUAAUAGGGCGAAAGUCCGUUGGAGUAGACCCGAAACCGGGUGAUCUACCCAUGUCCAGAGUGAAGCUCUAGUAAAAUAGAGUGGAGGCUCGAACCGACCGUCGUUGAAAAGGCGGCGGAUGAGGUGUGGGUAGGGGUGAAAUGCCAAUCGAACCCGGAAAUAGCUGGUUCUCCCCGAAAUAGCUUUAGGGCUAGCCUUGGGAAUAAAUACCGGAGGUAGAGCACUGACUGGGCUAGGGGUCUUCACCGAUUACCGAACCCAAUCAAACUCCGAAUGCCGGAUAUUAGGAUCCCAGGAGUCAGACUGCGGGUGCUAAGAUUCGUAGUCGAGAGGGAAACAGCCCGGACCGCCGGCUAAGGUCCCCAAGACAGGCUAAGUGGAAAAGGAUGUGGAGUUGCCCGGACAACCAGGAUGUUGGCUUAGAAGCAGCCACCAUUUAAAGAGUGCGUAAUAGCUCACUGGUCAAGUGGCUCUGCGCCGAAAAUGUAACGGGGCUAAGCCUGUCACCGAAGCCGCGGAUCUGAGAAGUGAGAGGUGAGAGGUUGGAAGUGAGAGAGAAAAUAAGCUCAUUUAACAACCUGAAAGUGUAUCAAAAAAGUUAUCAAUUAGCUUUGGAGAUACACAAGAUAACGAGAACAUUUCCAGACAUUGAAAGAUAUGAGCUUGGCACACAACUACGCAGGUCGGCGGUAUCUAUACCGGCAAACAUAGCCGAAGGAUAUGGCCGGAAAAAAUCCAAUGCGGAAUUCAAGCAUUUCUUGCGAAAUGCACUGGGUUCAUGUAACGAAGUUCAAGUGCUGUUAAGCCUAUCAAAAGACCUGGGUUAUAUUGCAGAUGACGAAUAUGUACAGCAAUAUGAUGAGCUGGGAAAACAAAUCUAUCGACUAAUAGAGGUCUGGAAAUAAAAUCUCACAUCUAACUUCUCACAUCUCACCUCUCAGAUGGUAGGGGAGCGUUGUAUGUGCGACGAAGGAGUACCGUAAGGAGCUGUGGAGCGCAUACAAGUGAGAAUGCCGGUAUAAGUAAACGCAAAGGCAGGUGAGAAUCCUGCCCGCCGAAAACCUAAGGUUUCCUGGGGAAGGCUCGUCCGCCCAGAGUAAGCCGGGGCCUAAGCCGAGGCGAAAAGCGUAGGCGAUGGAGAAUCGGUUGAGAAUCCGAUGCCACUUACAGCCGUUUGGAGGAUGGGGUGACACAGGAGGGUAAGCUAAGCGCGCGGAUGGAAAAGCGCGUCCAAGGUGGUAGGGUGAGAGAUAGGCAAAACCGUCUCUUGAAAAGCCCGAGAACUGAAGGGGAGCGAAAACAAGUAGCGAAGUAGCCGAACCCAAACUGUCGAGAAAAACCCCUAACGAGGCAAGUAAGUGCCCGUACCGCAAACCGACACAGGUAGGUGGGGUGAGAAUCCUAAGGCGCGCGAGAGAACCCUCGUUAAGGAACUCGGCAAAAUAACCCCGUAACUUCGGGAGAAGGGGUACCCCGUUAGCGUGAAGGGUGAACACUUGGAGCGCGAGGGGGUCGCAGAGAAAGGGCCCAAGCGACUGUUUAGCAAAAACACAGGUCCCUGCUAAAUCGAAAGAUGACGUAUAGGGGCUGACGCCUGCCCGGUGCUGGAAGGUUAAGGGGAGAGCUUAGGGGAAACCCGAAGGUUUGAACCGAAGCCCCAGUAAACGGCGGCCGUAACUAUAACGGUCCUAAGGUAGCGAAAUUCCUUGUCGGGUAAGUUCCG